AUAAGCAAGUUCUCUCUCUGAGCUCGCGAUGAAGACAGAGAUGCCGAACCUUCCCGAAGAAAUCAUCGUCGACGUACUCACGAGACUACCCGUCGUCUCCCUCUGCAGAUUCAGGUGCGUUUCGAAACCGUGGCGCUCUCUAAUCUCCCACCCUAGUUUCAUCAAAACACACCUCAAUCGCAACACCGACAAAAACACCAACAAGUUCGAGCGUGUCGUUCUCAGCGAUCAUCGAAAUUGGUACACCGUGGAACUCGAUUCAUCCCAAUUCAGGCACCAUUCAGUGGCAGUGCGCCUGAAUUUCCCACCCGGUCAAAACCCUAGAUAUUGUGAGGAGAUUUGUUAUUCGUGUGAUGGCUUGGUGUUGAUGCUCGAUCGAAGGUUCCAUUGUUGUUUGGUGAACCCGUCUACUCGAGAAUCUAGAAAAUUGCCAUUAUCUCCUUUUACGUCUAAGCCAGGUUUCACUGAUUAUGGGUUUGGUUACGACUCAUCCAUUGAUGACUACAAGGUUGUAAAUAUUUGUUAUUAUGAUGGAGAAGCUGAUGCUGGGUGCGCUGAUAAUGUAGUCAGUGUGUAUGCCUUAAAGACCAAUUCCUGGAGAAGGAUUGAGAACUCUCCUUAUGAUCAUUCAUGCUUUGGGCAUCAUUCAGGGGCUUUUGUUUGUGGUGCACUCCACUGGGUAGCUAGCAAUGGUACAGACGAUGUUAUAGUUGCACUCGUUUUAGAAGAUGAAAAAUUUCAGACUGUGCCAUCUCCAACUCCGGAUUGUAUUGGUGACCUACUUUGUGUUCUUGGAGGUUGCCUUUGUGUGUUUGUUUCUCAGUUUGAUCCUUACUGUCUAGAUGUUUGGGUGAUGAAAGAGUAUGGGGUGAAAGAUUCAUGGAUGAAAUUUACAGUCACUUAUGAUAAUAUUUAUGAUUCUUGGAGGCCUUUGAGUUUAUCUCGGACCGGUCAAGUUUUACUUAAUGCACAAGGAAAAAACUUAGUUCUCUUUGAUCCACGGGAGGAAGAAUCCAAGGAGCUAGUGGUUCAGGGCCUUCCAACUCAAUUUGAAGUAGGAACUUAUGUGGAAAGCCUCGUUUCACCCAAGAGGCAAUGCUAAUAAUCACCUAGUUAGGUACUAUACUCAUUUUGGGGAUUUUCUAAUGAUGGGGAUUCCACCGUGAGUUAAAUUUAUUGUCCCCUUUCAAAUGAGAAGCAUGCAUAGAAGACAUGCUAGAAAAGCUAACCCCCAUCUUCCUUAUGCUACUAUCUCUAGUCCCUAGAACUUCAUCUGGUGGUUGCCUAUUCCCUUCAAAAUCAAAUUCUUUUAUGGCAAGUUUUGGAUGAUUGUCUUUCCUGUAUGAGUUUCUAUCUUACAAAGGUUGGGUUGGAGAACAAGGUUCUUCCUCUUUGGGGGUAUUAUGACUUGGUUUAGGUCAGAUUUAGGUCUUCCUUUACCCUAGCAUUGCUCCUCUGUUGUACUUAGGUUAGGGAAUGGCACUACAAUGCUAAUCUUCGCAGACAUUCUAGGGAGUUAAUCUUUUGAAGGUUUCAUGAGUGCUUUGGUGCAUUCGAUUAAAUAAAAACAAACUAGUUUUUUCAAGAAUUACUCCAUCUCCCAUCCACAUUAUUUAGGAGGCUUCUCAUUUUUAUUCUUAUACUUAACAUGUUUUUUGCACUGCUUUCCAACCUUUAAUGACUAGAGAAUAGGUCUGCGCAAGACCUUGCCUCUUGUCACACAUCAUCCAACAUCAACAUUCCUGCAAAAUAUCUUUUCUUUUAUUGAUUCUGGUGGGAACUGCUGCGUCAAUGAGUCCUUUCUACUUUGGUCAUUUAUUGAGGCCAUGCUUUCAAUUUGCAUUCUACAAAAGUUGGAGGAUUAUGACACCAUUUCUGCAAUUGCAACCCUGUUGUUUGUCGACUCCGUUAUAUAGCACAAUCCCUUCACUCAUGUAUAAUUUACUCUAUGCCAAAGCAAUAUAUAUUAUCUCUCACGCUCUAGCAAUGGUGAAGUUUGCAGUUUUAUCAGAUGACCAAGUUUGCAGCUUUAUCAGGUAUUCAUUCAGAAACAUCCAUAUCAUUCCCUUCUGGUGAUGGUUGAUGCAAGUUAUCGAGCUUGAAUUCUGUUGGCCGUUGAUUGCGACGCAAAGUAUCUAAUCUUUGUACUGUUUUUUUCUUUCUUGUUUCAUUUUCCUUGUACUGACUCGCUUUGAUUGGGGUUGUAUUAUGAAAUUAUUGCUUGUGUUUGUUCUCUUAUAUUUCUUUUUAUGCCAACAAAAUCUGUUGUUACUCUUGUUAGGCUUAUGCUGCAUUGUACUUUGUAUUACAGGUUAGAUGCAUGAAAACACUCUGUAAAAUUAUACUAUAGGAUUUAUUGAGUAAAUAUUUUCCUCUAA
Rhododendron vialii is the source of this 2378-nucleotide RNA transcript. It is a transcript of the gene named F-box/kelch-repeat protein At3g06240-like, with no coding region annotated. The transcript is spliced from 3 exons. The record is from RefSeq and is a predicted model, not a curated record. Lineage: Eukaryota; Viridiplantae; Streptophyta; Magnoliopsida; Ericales; Ericaceae.